This 589-nucleotide ribosomal RNA is filed under the name uncultured bacterium. RNAcentral describes it as "bacterial SSU rRNA". It matches the Rfam family "Bacterial small subunit ribosomal RNA", at positions 336 to 916 of the family's 1533-position model. The record is from RNAcentral.
CUCCUACGGGAGGCAGCAGUGGGGAAUUNUGGACAAUGGGCGCAAGCCUGAUCCACCCAUGCCGCGUGAGUGAAGAAGGCCUUCGGGUUGUAAAGCUCUUUCGCAAGGGAAGAAACGAUAGGGACGAAUACUCGCUGUUAAUGACGGUACCUUGAUAAGAAGCACCGGCUAACUACGUGCCAGCAGCCGCGGUAAUACGUAGGGUGCGAGCGUUAAUCGGAAUUACUGGGCGUAAAGCGUGCGCAGGCGGUUCGACAAGUCAGAUGUGAAAUCCCCGGGCUCAACCUGGGAACUGCGUUUGAAACUAUCGAGCUAGAAUAGGUCAGAGGGGGGUAGAAUUCCCCGUGUAGCAGUGAAAUGCGUAGAGAUGUGAAGGAAUAUCAAUGGCGAAGGCAGCCCCCUGGGAUCAUAUUGACGCUCAUGCACGAAAGCGUGGGGAGCAAACAGGAUUAGAUACCCUGGUAGUCCACGCCCUAAACGAUGUCAACUAGUUGUUGGUAGAGUAAAAUCUAUGAGUAACGCAGCUAACGCGUGAAGUUGACCGCCUGGGGAGUACGAUCGCAAGAUUAAAACUCAAAGGAAUUGACGG